RNAcentral lists this ribosomal RNA (1249 nucleotides) under metagenome. RNAcentral describes it as "bacterial SSU rRNA". It matches the Rfam family "Bacterial small subunit ribosomal RNA", at positions 15 to 1224 of the family's 1533-position model. The record is from RNAcentral.
GAUCCCAGCUCAGGAUGAACGCUAGCGGUGCGCUUAACACAUGCAAGUCGUGCGAUCGAACCAGACGGAUUUUCCUUCGGGAACUGAAGACUAGUCACGGAGCGGCGAACUGGUGAGUAACACGUAGCUAACCUACCUUCUUGACAGGAACAACCAUUCGAAAGGAUGGCUAAUGCCUGAUGUUGUGCGGAGUUGAUGACUUCGUACCAAAGGCGGUCUUGCCGCCACAAGGAGAGGGGGCUGCGUCCUAUUAGCUUGUUGGUAGGGUAAUGGCCUACCAAGGCGAUAAUGGGUAGCUGGUCUGAGAGGACGAUCAGCCACAUUGGGACUGAGAUACGGCCCAGACUCCUACGGGAGGCAGCAGUGGGGAAUAUUGGACAAUGGACGAAAGUCCGAUCCAGCGACACCGCGUGGGGGAUGAAGGCUUUCGGGUUGUAAACCCCUUCUCUGGAGGAAGAAUAAGGUUGGGAGGAAAUGCCCAUCCGAUGACGGUACUCCAGGAAUAAGCAUCGGCAAACUUCGUGCCAGCAGCCGCGGUAAGACGAGGGAUGCAAGCGUUAUCCGGAAUUACUGGGCGUAAAGGAUGUCUAGGCGGUUGGAUAAGUCAUUUGUGAAAUCCCAGGGCUCAACCCUGGAAGGUCUUGUGAUACUGUCCGGCUUGGGUGUAGGAGAGGAGAGCGGAACUCACAGAGUAGCGGUGGAAUGCGUAGAUACUGUGAGGUACCCCGAUGGCGAAGGCAGCUCUCUGGCCUAUUACCGACGCUGAAGCAUGAAAGCGUGGGGAGCAAAGGGGAUUAGAUACCCCCGUAGUCCACGCCCCAAACGAUGUUCACUUGGUGUCGGGAGCCUAUAUAUCUCGGUGCCGGAGCUAACGCGUUAAGUGAACCGCCUGAGGAGUACGGCCGCAAGGCUAAAACUUAAGAGAAUUGACGGGUCCCCGCACAAGCGGUGGAGCACGUGGUUUAAUUCGAUAUAAGCGAAGAACCUCACCUGGGCUUGACAUACUAGUGGUAAGAACCGGAAACGGUGAUGACCCUACCUUCGGGUAGGGAGCUAAUACAGGUGAUGCAUGGCUGUCGUCAGCUCGUGUCGUGGGAUGUAGGGUUAAGUCCCGAAACGAGCGCAACCCUUGUCACUAGUUGCCAGCGGAUAAUGCCGGGGACUCUAGUGAGACUGCUGGUGAAUAGCCGGAGGAAGGCGGGGAUGACGUCAAGUCAUCAUGUCCCUUAUGCCCAGGGCGACACACAUG